AAAGUUAUCUAGGGAUACAACAUGUAGAUAGUCUUUAGUUAAAAUGCCAAACGUUGAUGGCAUCAGAUAUCUGUAAAAAGUCAUUACAUUAGCCAGAAAUAGAUUUUAGUAUUUCAAAGAAUAUAUAUAUAUUCAUAACCGAAAGCACCAAGGUGUUACAAUAUACAAAUUAAAACAGACAGACGCAUUAUUGAAAGAGCAAGGGAGAAAGAGCGUCUUUACCAGCAAGGAAAAACGACAUUUAAAGCCUGAAGCAACACUCUUUCUCCCUCUUUCAGUGAUGCAAAUCACAAAGUUUGAAAGAGAUGUCAAAAAGUUUAAUGGCCAAUAAGAUAGGCCCAGGCAACACACCAGAAUAGAACAAAC
This 366-nucleotide long non-coding RNA is filed under the name Solanum tuberosum (potato). Its description in RNAcentral is "long non-coding RNA (STUB_LNC010147)". Lineage: Eukaryota; Viridiplantae; Streptophyta; Magnoliopsida; Solanales; Solanaceae. The record is from RNAcentral.